This 200-nucleotide unclassified non-coding RNA is filed under the name soil metagenome. Its description in RNAcentral is "partial contains internal transcribed spacer 2 and large subunit ribosomal RNA". The record is from RNAcentral.
UUGCUGGCUUCCUUCAGUGGAUGGUCUGCUCCCCUUAAAUGCAUUAGCGGGAUCUCUUGUGGACCGUCACUUGGUGUGAUAAUUAUCUAUGCCAGUUGACUUUGAAGCAAAACUUAUGGGAAUCCGCUCAUAACCGUCCACUCGUGGACAACUCUUGACAUUUUGACCUCAAAUCAGGUAGGACUACCCGCUGAACUUAA